Non-coding RNA from Prunus mume (Japanese apricot), 741 nucleotides. NCBI's taxonomy places the organism in Eukaryota, Viridiplantae, Streptophyta, Magnoliopsida, Rosales, Rosaceae. The record is from RefSeq and is a predicted model, not a curated record.
CACUGGGAGCAUAUAAGCAUGGGAAUAUCUAAUAUUUAAGUUUCAGAUUUCGCCAUUAAAAUGUUUUGGUAGCUUCUCAUUAUAUCGAGGCUGUUCUACACAAAUGGAGGUGAUGCCAUUUUGGUGCAACUCCCAAGGUUCACCCUAAUUUAUGGAAACCAAGGAGUAGCUUAGGGCUGAUGAACAAUGACCUUCCCAGCACCAACCCUGAAGACUCUAUGUCCUGCUUUGAUUUGUCCAAGAAUGAUUCAUAUCUCAUAUCAGCAACAGGAGGGAUGAUCUCCAUUUUUGACAUGACAACAUUUAAGACGAUGAAGAAAGUCAUGCCACCGCCACCUGCGGCAACAUGUCUUGCUUUUCACUCCCGGGAUGACGUUAUGGACAAUUCCACCAAUAUUAUAUGUGUUGUCGCAUAAGGAACUUGUUGUGUCAAACUUUUCACAUGGGCACUCUACCAUCCUCGCCAAAACAAAACUGAGCAUGGCACAUCAUUGUGCAGUGGUGUUUUUGUAUGCCUUGCAAAUUCUCCUUUGCAUAGAGAAAACGAACCAUCAUUGUAACCAGCAGAGGGGAUGAAAGAUCAAGAGUCCUGAAAAUUCCAAGAAACAGAUCUCCUUGUAGAAAGGCCCUACUGCUGAAGCUGCAAAAUGCAUACAUCAUGUGAUUAACUUGCAUAUCAGAUGUAAAUAUCAAACAAUUUGGCAUGUAAGGCAAGGCAAAAAGUAAAUGAAAUCAGCAAAA